Molecule: ribosomal RNA, 497 nt
Filed under: uncultured bacterium
Lineage: Bacteria
Description: partial 16S ribosomal RNA
Rfam family: Bacterial small subunit ribosomal RNA
Source: RNAcentral
GAUGAACGCUGGCGGCGUGCCUAAUACAUGCCAGUCGAGCGAACAGACGAGGAGCUUGCUCCUCUGACGUUAGCGGCGGACGGGUGAGUAACACGUGGAUAACCUACCUAUAAGACUGGGAUAACUUCGGGAAACCGGAGCUAAUACCGGAUAAUAUAUUGAACCGCAUGGUUCAAUAGUGAAAGACGGUUUUGCUGUCACUUAUAGAUGGAUCCGCGCCGCAUUAGCUAGUUGGUAAGGUAACGGCUUACCAAGGCAACGAUGCGUAGCCGAGCUGAGAGCGUGAUCGGCCACACUGGAACUGAGACACGGUCCAGACUCCUACGGUAGGCAGCAGUAGGGAAUCUUCCGCAAUGGGCGAAAGCCUGACGGAGCAACGCCGCGUGAGUGAUGAAGGUCUUCGGAUCGUAAAACUCUGUUAUUAGGGAAGAACAAAUGUGUAAGUAACUAUGCACGUCUUGACGGUACCUAAUCAGAAAGCCACGGCUAACUACGUG